UUUCCUACGGGUGGCUGCAGUGGGGAAUAUUGCACAAUGGGGGAAACCCUGAUGCAGCCAUGCCGCGUGUGUGAAGAAGGCCUUCGGGUUGUAAAGCACUUUCAGCGAGGAGGAAAGGUCAGUAGCUAAUAUCUGCUGGCUGUGACGUUACUCGCAGAAGAAGCACCGGCUAACUCCGUGCCAGCAGCCGCGGUAAUACGGAGGGUGCAAGCGUUAAUCGGAAUUACUGGGCGUAAAGCGCAGGCAGGCGGGUGGAUAAGUGAGAUGUGAAAGCCCCGGGCUCAACCUGGGAAUUGCAUUUAAAACUGGCCAGCUAGAGUCUUGUAGAGGGGGGUAGAAUUCCAGGUGUAGCGGUGAAAUGCGUAGAGAUCUGGAGGAAUACCGGUGGCGAAGGCGGCCCCCUGGACAAAGACUGACGCUCAGGUGCGAAAGCGUGGGGAGCAAACAGGAUUAGAUACCCUAGUAGUCGC
This 470-nucleotide ribosomal RNA is filed under the name uncultured Aeromonadaceae bacterium. RNAcentral's name for it is "bacterial SSU rRNA". It matches the Rfam family "Bacterial small subunit ribosomal RNA", at positions 335 to 797 of the family's 1533-position model. Lineage: Bacteria; Pseudomonadati; Pseudomonadota; Gammaproteobacteria; Aeromonadales; Aeromonadaceae. The record is from RNAcentral.